CUUGCCUGGAAAAUUCCAUGGACACAGAAGCCUGGCGGGCAAGCUAUGGUCCAUGUGGUCACAAACGAGUCAGACACAAUUGAGCAACCGAGUGUGCACACAUGCACAAACAUUGUCCACAAUGUGUUUCUCAGAUUCAUGUGAAGACAUCAUGGUAGCCUAUUAAUGGUAGUCAUUGGGGAUCAUUGCUGGUAUGGAGGUAAGUACAGACAUGGGCCUAUACCAUAGCAAAUCCCAUCUGACCUUCAUAUAUCCAGCUAAGUGAUGAUGUGAUACUUCCUGUUACUCUGAUUUUUUAAGAUAUUGAGUUAGAAAGUGAUAGUCUUUACCACUUCUAGAUAUCCUCAGUUUUCAUUUGUUGUAUUUCUGGAAAUGUUCAUUUUUACCUCUGUGAAUGCUGAGGUUUUAUGUGAGUACAGUUAUUUAUCAUGGUGUUCCCCAUCUCAGUACUAGUCAUAGGAUUUUUACAGGUCUCCAGUCAAAAAGGGAUAUUUUAUCUUAUACUGGUGUUCACCUUGGCUUGCUACAAGUAUCCAGGUAAGUUGCUGUGUCUCCUAAUGAUGAAGUGACCAAAAUUAUUUGCAACUGUCAUGGUAGAAAAAGUUAUGUCCUUUAACAAACAUUUCGUAUUAUCAUUCUAGGUUCAUGUCAAGAGACCAUGGCUAAACUAACAGUGCUAAUUAGUGGUGACCAUGGCUUGUGUGCAGGUAAGUCAGGAUAUGGGCCUAAACCACAGCACAGGCCAUUUGAUCUUCAUAAAACUGGGUACCUUCUGAUAGUUUCUCUGACAGUUGAUGUUAGCAUUUUUUCUUUACAGGUAUUCAGGUGGUAGUAGUAGUGCUCACUCAGUUGUGUCCAACUCUUUGCGACCCCAUGAACUGUAGUCCUCCAGGCUCCUCUGUUCAUGGGAUUCUCCCAGCAAUAAUACUGGAGUGGGUUGCCAUUUCCUCCUCCAGGGUUCAAACCUGAGUCUCUUAGGUCUUCUGCAUUGGCAGGCAGAUUCUCUACCACUGCACCACCUUGAAAGCCCUAGGUAUUCAGGUAGAAAAGGACUGUUCUUAUCAAUUCUAGAAACCAUGAGUUUUCCAUUCUUAUAUUUUAGAGAGAAUUUUCAUUGAUGCUGUGAGUGAGGUGUGUUUGUCAUUUUCAGAUGAUUCUCAUGAUGCUCUUAACCAUGAUAGUAACCAUGAAAUAUUGCAGGUGUCCCAGAAUGAAAUGUUGUCAUAUCUGCAAAUGCCGACAACCUUGCUAUACUGCAGGUAUUCAGGUAGAGCUGAUGUUCUCAAAAUGAAGGAAAUGUCUGAGGUCAUUUGAAGGUGUCCUGCUGCAAGUUCUGUCCUUUGGAACUGUAGAAUGUGUUUUUCAGAUUCCUGUCAAGAGAUCAAGAUGAACUUAAUGGCUGUUAAAGGGGUCCUUUCUGAUGUCCAGGUAAGUGACAAUGUGCACCUUCCCCACAUCACAGCAUCCUGCAUUCACAUCUCUAGGUAAGUGGUAUUGAUUGGCUUAACUUGUUGUACCAUGUUUUUAAUUUCAGGUCUUCAGGUAAGAAAUGAUAGUGUUUUUAUUAAUCUUAACAAUUAUGAUUGUCUACUGUUUUAUAUUUUUGAGAGUUUAUUUUUAACCCUGUGAGUGAUGAGCAAUUCCUGGGUGUGCAGGCAGUAAUGACUAUGUGGCACAAUUGUGAAUGUGGCAUUUCUGCAGGGGAGCAGGGAAGAGAGGAUAGUAUUUAUAACCAUUAUAAUAAUAGCAUAGACCUUGGAGAACUGCAUGCCCCCAGGGAGAGGGGAAGAUGGGUUCUUUGGUGAAGGCAGUGUAUGAGGUCAUCUGCAGUGUCCAGACAAUUAAUUGUGUCCAUAGACACAUUUGUCACAAUGUUUUCUCCAGGUUCCUGUCUAGAGAUCAUGGUGCACUUCUCCAUGACCAUGAAAAGAACUCAGCUUUUAUCCAAGUGAGUGACACCAUGGGCCUUUCGCAGAAGCCAGGCCAUCUAGUCUUCAGAUAUCUGAGUACAUGGAUAGAAUUUCCCUAACAGAGUGUCACCCUGUUGUUUUGCUCGUGAUCCAUUAAGUCCUUUCCUAAGGUGCAGGUAUGUGGUUAUAUGACUUUCCUUCAUUACAGAGCUUCUUAUUUUCAUAUAUGUGAAUGAUGAUGCUUUCAUCUCUCUGUGUUAAGUAUAACUUUGGCAUGUUUGCCAUUUAGAAUUUAAAUUGACCCCAACAAUACCAGUUAAGUCGGAUAUUUGACUAUGUUCUUGUUCACAGGUUAUGUGUUUUAUGUACGUGUAGUGAUAGAUGCAGAGAAGGCAAUGGCACCCCACUCCAGUGUUCUUGCCUGGAGAAUCCCAGGGACAGGGGAGCCUGGUGGGCUUCCGUCUGUGGGGUCACACAGAGUUGGACACGACUGAAGCGACUUAGCAGCAGCAGCAGCAGCAGUGAUAGAUGAAUCAGUGGAUGAUUUGUCAUACUGUCCAUCAGUGGUUAACGUUCACUUUGAGGUUUUUCCAGGCAUCCCUGCAAGAGAGGAAAGAAUCUCUUUUUAUUAAUCUCAGGUUUCCACAGUUAUCCAUGGAAUAGCAAUGUGUCUUGAAAUGGUUGAAUUGAACAAGGAAUUUUCAGGUGGCCCAGUGGAGUAAGAUGCGUACCAAACACAUUUUACACAGUUGUUUUCAGCUUCAUGUGAAAGCAUCACAGUGAACUUAUUCACAGUAGUUAUCAAGGCACAUCGCAGACAUGGAGGGAAGUGGUGACUUGCGCUGAAGCCACAACCUAAAUCAUGUGAUCUUCAUGCAUAAAAGUUAGUGUUGAUGAUGUCCCUAACACUUGUGCUUCCCUAAUUAUUUUUGCAGGUGUGCAGUUCAGGUCUUAAGUAGUACAUAGGUAUGAGAUGAUGUGAUGUAAACACAUCAGUGAAAAUUGCCCAGUCGUAUCUGACUCUUUGCGACCCCAUGGACCAUACAAUCCAUGAAACUCUCUAGGCCAGGAUACUGGAGCGGGUAGCCAUUCCCUUCUCCAGGGGAUCUUCCCAACCCACGGAUAGAAUCCAGGUCUCCUUCGUUGCAGACAGAUUUUUUACCAGCAGAGCCACUGGGGAAGCCUAUUAGAGGGCUGCUUAUUUUCAGAUAUCUUUGUAAUCAUCUGAUAUUUAACUUGUUUGGCACAAGUGUAGGCUAAAUUAAUUUGUGCCUAGUAAUACUAGCAAGCAAUAGUUUUUUAUUGUGAUCUUGUACAGAUAUAAUGUGUGUUUCUCACUUGAGCUGGUAGACAGAUUGCAAGCAUCCAGGCAGUUUGUUAUAUUGUUCUAAUGGCUUUAUUAACCACAGGAUAUUUGCAAGUAGCCCUUCAGGGGAGAAAGGUCUGUGUGUUACUCGGGUUUAUCCUCAGAGUUCUCCAAGUAUCCAAGUAAUAUUGAUGGAUCUCAAAAUGAUAUAGGUGACAGAGGGGCUUGCUGGUGCACAGGUGACAUGCAGCAUUAUACCAAGCACGUUUUUCACAGUGUGUUUUUCAGGGCUUGCGAAGCAAGCCAGUCAGUGGCAGUUGAUAGCUGGACACAGCUGGUGUUGAGGUAAGUGAUGGCAUGGCCUAAACCACAUCACAGACCAUCCAGUUUUCCUGUAUGGAGGUAAGUGAUGGCAGGUGUCAAGAAUGCUUGUCAGUAUGACUUAGAUACAGAUGUUCAGGUAUGAAAUGAUAGAGUCAUUACCAAAUCUAGAGACUCUGAGUUUUCACUUUUUUGUUUCAGGUGAAAUUUAUAUUUAACAUAGGGGCACUCAAGGGUUGCAGGUAUACAGGUACUUAUGGUGGUUUUCCCCACCACAGUACCACCCACAGGAUUUGUACAGGUGUCCAGGCAAGAAAUGAUAGUUUUCCAACCUUGGUGUUAACUUUGGAUUCCUGCAGGUACCCAGGUAAAGUUGAUGUCUCCUCAUGAGGAAGUGACCAAGGUUAUUUGCAGGUGUCCUGGUAGAAAAAAAAACUUGUGCCCUUUAACAUAUGGUUUAUAAUAUUUCUUUCAUGUUUCCUUCUAGAAAUCUCAGAAAUUGGUUGUUGAUGGGGAGACAUGGUUGGUGUGCAGGGAAGUGAUGGUGUGGGCCUGAACCACUACAUGGGCCUUCCUGUCUCCAGGUAGCUACGUAGGUGAUGGUAGUGUUCCUCACACUUGUUACCAUGAUUUCCUUGCAGCCUUUCAGAUGGAAACAGUGGAUCUCUUACCAGUUCUAGAAACCAGGAGUUUUCAUUUAUUAUUAUUUUUAAAAUUUUGUCUUUCUCUGAGUAUUGAGUAAUUUCACAUAACCAGAGAUAAUUAGCACAAUGAACCUAGCUAGCCAUGAUAGUGACUGUGGAAAUCUUGCACAUGUGCCCUAUUAAAAUAAAUAAAUUUAUAUUAAAAAAAUAAAAAGGUAUAAAACAGAAAAAAAUAAAAAAAAUAAAAUUUACGCACAAUUUAAAAAAAAAAAAAAAGAAAUGUCUGCUUACCUGGGAAUAUUCCUAACUUGGAUUCCUGCCAGUAUUCAAUGAACGCUGAUGUUCUUAUAAUGAUGAAAGCAGUGUCUUCAGGUGUCUUGGUAGAACAAAUUGUGUCCUUUUUACAUGGAUCAUAAUGUUUUUUUCACCUUUGUGUCAAGAGAUCAUGGUGAACCUUACAAUGGUUGUUCUCAGAGGCAUAUCUGGCAUCCAGGUAAGUGAUUACAGGCACCUUCAUCACAUCAGCCACCAUCCAGUCUUCAAACGCUUAGGUAAGUGAUAUUUGUUACUGUUUUGCCAUGGGAUUUGGGGGCUAGGUUUUCAGGUAAGAAUUGAUAGUAUUCCACUAGUUCUAGCAACCAUGUCACCCUCCUGUUUUAUAUUUUUAAAAAGAUUUCUAUUUUACCAUGUAAUUGUUGACAAACUUUUUGUUUACCAUGGCUUUUUGCAGUUUUCUUGUCAAGGACAGGAUUGUGUCUAACUAAGGUGUUGAUCUUAGACUUUUGCAAGUUUUCAGGUAGAUUUGAUUAGCCCCAUAAAUUUAAUGGAAUUUCCCCAAGUGUUCACUAUUAUCAUUUGUCUUUAUAAUACCAAAUAAAGAGUACUGUAUAAUACCAAAAGAAGGCCUCACAUCAUCUCUUAACUGGACCACCAGCAAAAUGCAAAAUUGAAUCUUAAUAUUAGUUGGGCCAUCAUCUCUUGGAUAUUUUUGUGGAUAUUUACUGAAGAGGAGAUAUUAUCUCUAUCCAAAGUCUUGACCUUGUUUUUGUUUUUGUUUUUGCAAAUAAAAUAUCCAGGUAGACUUAAUGGUUCCCCUUAAGUUUGUAGUGCUCAUAGGAUUUUUCAGCAUCCAGAUUGUAGAAUUAUCCUUAAACACUAGUGUCUCUUUAGUUGUUGCAGAUUCCAAUUAAGAGACUGUUGAGAAGCUCUGUACAGUAUUGGAGGCAGAAUUUUGCUUGCGUCUAACUAUAAGAUGAUGAUGUUCAUAACAAAGUUAGAGCUCUUGAGAUUGUGCAGAUAUCCAGACAGACACCAGUAGGGAUGUGUGAUAUCUUACCUGGAUAUCUGUAAACUCCCAAGGUCAUUAUCUUGAUUAGGAACACCAUCUACUCUUGCCUGAAAAUUUCAAGAAAACACAUUAGUUAGAGACACCUUCAUAGUGUGACAGGAUAUCUGAAAUUUCCUUGAUCACUGUGAUGGUUGGUCAACACAACUUAAAGGACACUUGCAAAUAAACAUGGUCACUAGGUUGGCUGAAGGACCUUGGCGGUCCUUUCACAUAAAUAAUUGGUUGCUUGAGGCUGCUCUGGUUAGCAGGACUGUAUAUAGCACGCCAGCUACCAAACCUGUCAUUAUCUCAAGCAUCACCUUCCCUGGCACCUGGAGUCCUAUUAGGACCUUCAUCAUUUCUUCUAUCAUCCUUUGGUACUUCUAGUCUUUUCUCUUUCCCUCAGGACUGGUUAACACAGAUGCUAAUGUGUCAGUGAGGUUUUGAAAAUAACACUUCUCAUAGCAGUGGUUUGAGCUAAUAGUGAUUUUCAUCUCAAAUGUCUUACAAACACUAAUUAAGCUUCUAGCUCCCUAGUAGUCUUAGGCCAGUCUGGAGUGAGUUCCCAGUUUCCCCUCAAGCUACUGAAAGUCCUCUAGGAAACAGAAGGCCGGGGGGCUAGAGCCUGACAGCCUUUUUCUUGAAAGAAGGUUGAAUAAACUUUUAGAACUUUUGUGAUGCUUAGAGAGUGAAGUCUUGGGGUGCUUUAUCAGAUGAAACCCCUUGGAAUGUUUUAUUAAAUGAAGUCUAGCUAGUUUAAGCCAUCUGUCAGAAAGAUAUUUAUUUUUUUAUAAUUUAUUUUUUAAAUGUAUUUUUAAAAUUGUUACAGAAAAGUAUACACCUAUUGAGUUAGUGCAGUAGGGAAAUAGAUUAAAUCACAAACCUAAAUCAGUUCAUUAAGACAAUAGUUAUUUCUCAAUAGAAAGAGGAAAAAAAUACUGCUGGCAGGUGUGACUGAAAAGAAAGAUGUGAGAGAACAGGAGGUCCUUGAAAGCAUUCUUUCCAUUUCCUCGUUCUGAUCAGAAAUUCAGACAAAAUCUUUAGAAAAAGCACCUGAAAAAACAGUAUCUCCUGAUUCAAAAUGCAGAAGCACAGGCAUAAUGCAAUGGUGAAAUUCAUUCAUGGACAUUUUCAUCAGAAUCAAUGAUUCUCAACCAGGUGUGUGAUGUUGCCCCCCAGGGGACAUUUGACAAUGUCUGGAGACAUUUGGGGUGGUCAUGACUCCCAGGGCAGGUGAAGUGACGCUGGCAUCUAGUAUGUAGAGAUGAGGGAUGCUGCUGUGAAUGUCCUACAAUGCACGUGGCAGCUCCCAUCACAAAUAAUGAUCCAGCCCCCAAAAUUAGCAGUGCUAAGGCUGAAGAACUCUGCUCUAAACCCCUUCCCUUGCUGGAGCAGUAGCUCCAGUCUUCCAUACAGGUACAUGAGUUAUAUGCCAUUGAUAUGGUUGACCUCAACCUCACCCAGGGCUUCUCAGAUGACUCAGCAUAAAGAGUCCACCUGCCAACGCAAGAGACAUGGGUUUGAUCCCUGGGUCAGGAAAGAUCCCCUGGAGAAGGGAAUGGCACCCACUCCUGUAUUCUUGCCUGGAGAAUCCAUGGACAGAGGAGCCUGGUGGGCUAUCAUCCAUGGGGUCACAGAGUUGGACACAACUUAAACAUUAAAUCACCACCAAUCUCCCCCUCCUCAACUCCAGCAGGCCCAGCCUCAUGAUCUUCCCACUGCUUGCUCUAGGAUACCUUCAUCAGGCCUGGCAGCCCCGUCUGUGCAGUGUCUAAACUGGAACGUGUUCCUAACCGUAACACUGUGGAUUUUCUCAGAAGAAGAAGGUCGUAUCUGGAGAAGAUCUGAGGCUAAGAAUGAAAGCAACCCAGGCAAACUCUGCCUGAAGGAAAGCACCAUACCCACUACCUAGUGAACCUGCAGACUCCAAAGUGAGCAAUAAAGACUUGUAUUUAAGGAGAAAUUGAUGCUGCUGGAGGGAGAUGGUAAUGACUUUAUGGAGGAAGUAACUUGUAGGCAGAUUAUUUUUUAAAAUAAUAAAAAUUCUUAAUUCCAUUUUUGAAAAAAAAAUUGUAUAGCUCUUGUCAUUGUCAAAAUUUUGGAAAAUAUAGCAAAUACUGAAAUGAAAGUCAGGGAUGACAUCUAUUGAUAUUUUUUGUAUUAGUCCUCCAUGCAUACUAUGCCAUUAUACACUCUGGGGCUUUGCCUUUUAUGGCCCAAAAUCUAUCGGCAUUCUUAUAUAUGAACAAAUAUUCUUUGAAAACAUAGUUUGUAAUGGCUGCAUAGUAUUCAUGGCAGCACUAACUUGAGCUUUAAAGACAAGAUGAAGGACACCAGAAAGACAUGUUUCCAUUUAUUUGUUUAAAAUUAUUUAUCGAGUAUUCAGUAGUUCUGGGCAGUGUUCAAGGCACUAGGAAAACAACUGUUACAAAGAGACAAAGCCCCAGUAUCUGUCAACAGACGAUCAAUAAAGAAAUCAUAGUCUAUUCAUACAAUGCAAAACUACUCAACAAUAAAAAAAGAACUACUACUGGUAUGGAGCUACAGUAUGGAUGAACUUCAGAAACAUUAUACUGAGUGAAAGUAGCCAGACACCAAAGGCUCUAUGUUAUGAUUGCAUUGUUAUAAAACUCUAGAUGAUUCAAACCAAUCUAUAGUGAUAGGAAGCAGACUAGCAGGUGGGGGGAAAGAGGAGACAGGGAGGGCAGAAGGGAGUUGCAAGGGGCAUGAGAAACCUUUUGGAGGUGGGGGAUAUGUUUAUUAUCUUGACUGUAGUGAUGAGGUCAUGAAUGUAUACAUAAGUCAAAACUUUAAAACAAGUUUUUAUUUUAUAUUAUAGCUGAUUUACAAUGUUGUAUUGCUUUCAGGUGUACAGCAAAAUGGUUCAGUUGUACAUAAUACUGUUCUUUUUCCAAUUUUUUUGCCAUGUGGGUUAUUACAGAAUAUUGAGUAGAAUUCCCUGUGCUAUAAGUAAGUCCUUGUUGGUUAUCUAUUAAUAUUUUAAAUAUAGUAGUGUGUAUAUAUCAAUCCCAAACUCUCAAUUUACUCCCCCCCACCUUUCCCUUUGAAAAGUUUGCAUAUGUCAAAACUUUAAAUAUGUGCAGUUUAUUGUAUCAGUCACGUCUUCAUAAAGCUGUUUAAAAAGUCAUAGGCAUGGGGUAGGGGCUGAAAAAGUGGAGGAUAAGCAUCUGAGCAGCAGGAAAAGCACAUACAAACAUACAGAGGCAUUUUAUUUAAUAAACGCAUAAAAUUUACCUUCUCAGGCAAUGUUGCAGACGUGUUACAAAUAUUAACUCAUUUUCUCCUCACAGACUCCCCAGGAGGUAAGUACUAUUAAUAUCAUCCCUAUUGGAGUAAAGGAAAUUAAGGCACAAUGAUAUUAAAUAAUUUGCCCAAAAUCAUGGAAUAAUGGUCAUAGCUGGACUUUGUAUCCUCAAACCAAGAUUUAGAAUCAUGCUUUAAAUAAGACAACAAGCUAACUUCCAGGAACAUAUCUAGUAGUAUUUGCAGGUGUAUUUGAAGAGCCAGGUGACUGUAAUCAAAAGUGAAGGGAGAAGAGAGGAAACAGAAGACCUUGAAAAUAUAGGUUGGGGUUUGUUCAUAAUGCAAAGGUGUAUUGGAAGCCUUCUGAACGGUAUCUGUAUUUUGCGUGAACUAAUUUUCAUUUAUCAUCAUAUACUAAUUAUUAAUAUAUUUUCAGUGGAACUCAUCUUAAAGCAAUUUUUCCGUCACUUCCUCUGGGAUCCCAACCUUGAAAUAGAAGGCUCUUCCCAAGUCUUUUUCUCUCCUUUUCAUUUCCUGCUAAAACAUGUCUCUGCUGCUGCUGCUGCUGCUAAGUUGC
Long non-coding RNA from Bubalus bubalis (water buffalo), 9349 nucleotides. RefSeq lists it as uncharacterized. The record is from RefSeq and is a predicted model, not a curated record. The transcript has 3 exons. NCBI's taxonomy places the organism in Eukaryota, Metazoa, Chordata, Mammalia, Artiodactyla, Bovidae.